AUGUCUCCUUUAAUUUGGGUUUAGGCACUUGAAAUUAUAGAGACAUAUGCGCUUUUUG
Molecule: non-coding RNA, 58 nt
Organism: Staphylococcus microti
Lineage: Bacteria; Bacillati; Bacillota; Bacilli; Caryophanales; Staphylococcaceae
Source: Rfam